Molecule: long non-coding RNA, 3715 nt
Organism: Megalopta genalis
Lineage: Eukaryota; Metazoa; Arthropoda; Insecta; Hymenoptera; Halictidae
Source: RefSeq, a predicted model, not a curated record
AUCCAUAAAUACUCUCGGUGUUGCGAGCAUUUCUACCGUAACGAUCCGCGAUCAAAAAAUAAGGUUCAUACAACCAUAAGAAAAGAAAAGAUUUACCCGAAGUGUGGUACAUUCCGUUCCCUCGAGCUUGAUCGUUUGACACGAGACUAGAGCCGCGAGACUAUCAUUUUUACGGGCCUGAACCGAAAACGCAGAAAGAAACGCGAACAAUAGCGGUAACAACCAGUAGCAACAGCAACAGGUCGCUGUGACGCGAGGCGUUGUACGAUUGGCGGAAUGACUUUCGAGUAUGAAAUUCACACAAAUCGGAUUCCAUGAUGGCCGACGCUCCGGUCGACCGUUUCAAGAUGUAAUGCACUGCCUCGCGCACUUCCCCCCUUGUUACAACAUACCGCCGCGCACCAACAAUUCCCUAAGAAAUUGAAGACGGUUUAAUGCCACGAUCUGCAAGUUACGCGAACGAAAGCGAACUACACAAUGAACCGGCAAACCACUCGAUACACUCCGAAUCCGCGUGACGCGCUGACAGACAGUUUGUGGCGUCGCCGACUCGACGCCAUCGAGAUAUUCGAACACAUGCAACGAUCUUUUGCGGGAAUAUCAGAGAAUUAUCGAUCCAGCGAACCGCCGCGUGAUAGAUUUUUCAAAUGGCUAUGGAACCGUCGAAAAGCACGCAAAUGGAAAGAAUAUUUUGCUCGGAAAUAUCUUCGGAGAGAGAGCGCACGCGCGCAUCAGGAUGAUAAUGGAGUCUGGGUCCUUGAAAACUGAAAUCGUACCCUUUGAAGAAAUCUGGUCAAGCUCUCUUAGAUGGAAGGAGAAUCCCUCUCUACGCGAUUCCAACGAGGAACGCUAUCUUUUUUCCACCAAUAAGAACGAAUCCGACUAUCCCCCUCCAUGGGAGCGUGUCCUUUGUGGGAGACUGGGAAAGAAAAGGGAGGGGAUAAUGGCGGCGAUCUACCUGGACGAUUUUUGUGGCGGGAAUUACGGUGCCUCGACGAGAUCCUACACAACGCUUCACUUCGGGAGAAGAAACCACCUGCCUGGGAAUCGAGUCGGAAAUUUCACUCGUACCAUAAACGCUCAACGUCGAUAGUAAGCUCGUCCAGAUUCAAGAAUUUUUGCUUUCCAAUAUAUGUCAACUAUCCAUUGACAAUAUAACACUGCUAUUUUGUUGUAAAUUCUUUAACCUUACGAACAAAUAAUUGAUCUUCUACAAAGAAGAUUAAUUAAUAAACGCGAUCUUCUGAAUGCAAUACCUGAUAGAAAAAAGCUAAGGCAAAUAAUAUAAUGAUGUUUAAAAUACGUUAGAAACACCAUUAUGUUUUAUACAAGGUUUUUCAGAAGUUGAAUUAUUAGAUAGAAAUGUUGAAUCCUCAAAGAAAAUUGUUAGUUGUGAAACUAUAAGCGUGAUAUAAGAAUUGCUUGAACGUUCUUAUGUAUAAUAAAUGUGAUCGUAUUAUUUUAAAAAAAAUGAGAAUCGUUAAAGAAAUGAAGUUACUUGAUUUAUAAAGGAGCGUUAUAAGCAGCGUUAAAAAACAUGCUUUUCGUUACACGGAAGGCUAUACGUUUCACGAAGAAUUAGAUUCACAGGUAGAAAUCUUACGUCAUUGCUACUAUAGACCAUAGAUCGACCAUAAAGAAUGUGAGACAGUGUUGCCAAAGCGAGUAAAUCAUUGCAAUGCCAAGGUUGAGGUUCCACAUAGAACACAUCCUUAUUACGACAAACAUAACAAAAUUCUACAUGGUUCCAAAGUAAAUUAUCAAAUCGUUCGAAAUUUCAUAUAAUCUAUCUUUCUGUACAAUAAACUUGUUGGAUUCAUAUGUAACCAACCAAUAUAAGAACUUAUGUUCGUACGUGUGUGUCUACACAGAACGAACUGUUUAUUACAAAUUUUAAGAACUCGAAAAAAUAAUUCUUCAAGUGGAGGAAAAAAUAUAUUGUGAUCUGAGGAAUAGUUUCUUGCAUGUAACAUUUCUCAUUGUAUGUUUCGGAGAUUAAUAAAAUGUUUUGGACACUACGAUCGCGACGAAUUUCUAUAAAGACUUCAAUAGAAUUGAAUUAAUUAUUUUAAAACCAACCAACAAUUCCACGAAACAAUUGUACUUUAAGUAAUAGUUUGUACUACUUACACGGAACGUGUAGUUUCAUAAAUCUGGCAACAUUGUCAGAAAGCCAUUACAGGGGUGGAGACCUUUCCCUCUUGAAAGAGAGAAUAAGGGGAACAGGCAGCUUUUGAAAUCAUCAAAGUAGCCUGUUCGAAGUUUAACAAUAGAUCGGCGUAGACCGAAAAUCUGGAGCCUUACUACCAAUCGUGCUCGGUAAAUAUGUGAGGUGAAAUAUCUUCUAAGUAUAUUUAAACGUAAAUAUUACUUAAAAUCGUUAAAAUGUUUUCCUACUUUUUCAAUAACAAUAAAAACACAUACCAAUCACUUACAUAUAAAAAUUGUAUACUAUAUAUAAAUAAAUAAUAUAAUAAAAAUGGUUAAAACAAGCCACAUUUGCAAGCACAUAAAAUACUUGAAUGCAGAUUUCUUAAAGAAUUUUUGAUUGUGUUAUGCUAAAAUCUACUGUAAUUUUAAAAAUAGUUUCAAAAUUUUUAAACUAAGUUUAAGAUUACCAUAGAUUUACAUUCAACUAAGUAUUAAGAGUCAUUGUAUGAUUUUAACUACAUAAUUGAUCAUUAAACAAAAUGUUUAAAAGUAACAGAACUUACCUUUGAUGCGAGACACUGUCCGGUAUUGUAUAUGUCUAACACAUUGUCACUGUUAUAAUAAUGAUAUAACAGUUGCAUGUAAAGAAAAUAUCUAUCGAUUAUAUAAAAUAGAGUACUACAGAUUUCAAUUGUAAUACGUGAAAGGAUACAUAACUGCUUCGUUACUUUGUACAUCGAUUUCCAUAUUUGAUACUGCAUGUUGAACCCCAUUAAUAGAAUCUGUUUUAUCUUUUUUCAAUUUCUCUUUCUCAAAUUUAUGAAGAUCAUCAAGAGUUGGAAUAAUAUUUAGAGACUGCUGAAUACUAUAUACUACCCAUAAUUCUACAAAUGCUUCUUCGUCAAUGCCAUAAUCGUGGCAAAGCUGAAGACCUAAUUAAAAAUAUUCUUUUUCAAAUUCAGGUUGAUCGGGAGCAUCACAGCUUAAAUUACGAAAACACGAAAUUAACGUCUUCUUGGACACCAUAUUGCUUAAGAAACUACGUUCUUCAGGAUUUUCCCGCCAACUCGGCGAAUAGUGCACAUGCGCAGUUUUACCACUCUCCUCCCCUUUCCGCUCUUAUUGUAGAAAUGUAAAUUUCCAUACACAAACUGUAUAUUAUAAGAAACAGAAUUUUGUUUGGAAAAUAAAUAUUACAGUAUUAAGUAUAAAUGCACGUUUUAUUUUUCAUAAAAGUAAUCCAAAGUUGGAAAUUACAAACUAUAACUUUUAACUGUGUAAAUGUUGCAAGGCAUAUACUGUUAUAGCACAUAUAAUAAAAGAGAAAUGUAAUAAGUAAUUUUACCCACAAAUGAAUCAAUUAACUUCAAGUGUAAAAUGUUGUUUAUCUUUUUCCCACAAAUCAAUGAGAGUCUGUGAAGUUUCCGAAGAAGGGAAUCUUUCCAUCCAAGACUGAAUCAAUCCAACAAAAUUGGGUUCAUAAUUCUUCAAUUGUACUGUAUCCGAACCUGUUACAUUGAUGAAACAAAUUAAUAUAUAUUAAUAAAAAAAAUUUUAUAAGGAA